Molecule: ribosomal RNA, 1149 nt
Filed under: Triticum aestivum (bread wheat)
Lineage: Eukaryota; Viridiplantae; Streptophyta; Magnoliopsida; Poales; Poaceae
Description: partial small subunit ribosomal RNA
Source: RNAcentral
AUGAAGAACGCAUGGCAGGCAAACUCCGGCAUGAGCACAAUCAGCAGGGAUCCGGUGCUGUCCAAGACCACCGAGAGGGGGGAGAAUGACAGGCUCGAGUACGCGGUGUCGUCCAUGCAAGGUUACCGCGCGAACAUGGAAGAUGCCCAUGCAGCUGUUGGAGAUCUUGAUGCUUCCACCGCCACAUCGUUCUUUGGUGUUUAUGAUGGCCAUGGAGGACCUGCUGUAUCGAUGUUCUGUGCGAAACACUUCCAUCUUGAGGUCCACAAGCAUCCACACUUCAAUGACAGCCUGCGUAUUGCCGUGGAGAGCGCGUUCUUCAGAAUGGAUCAGAUGAUGAUGACAGAGGAGGGACGGAGGGAAUUAUCUGAGUAUAGCCCUGCUUAUAAUGCCAAUACGAAUUCGACUGUCAAGGAUAUGUUGCUCGGUUGUGCUUGUGUAAAUAUGAAGAGACGCCCCGGGGCAGCAGAUGUAGGAAGUACCGCUUGUGUGGCUGUCAUCAGAGGAAACCAGAUCAUUGUUGGGAAUGCUGGUGAUUGCCGCUGCGUGCUCUCAAGGAAUGGUCAGGCAACUGUUUUAACCACCGAUCACAAACCAAAUGUGCCGGCUGAAAGACGGAGAAUAGAGAAUGCAGGACGGUCUGUUGUACUUACUGGAGGAGCCGGUCGCAUCGAUGGUGGAAUUGCGGUCUCCAGAUCGAUCGGUGAUAUGAGGUACAAAAGCAAUAGUCGGCUGACCCCUGCACUACAAGCACUGACUUGUUCUCCUGAGAUUCGCGUAGAAAACAUAACUGAUGAAACUGAGUUCCUUGUUAUGGCAUGUGAUGGAGUCUGGGACGUCGUGCUAAACCAGGGCCUGGUUGAAAUUAUACGAAACAACAUGAAAUCUGGGAUGGACCUUGGGAAGAACUGCGAGGCCAUCCUCGACAUGUGCGUAGAGCCACCGCAACCGUCGGUCGACAACAUGACCAUCCUGCUGGUCCGGUUCAAGCACAAGACGCCAGCGGCACCCGACCCGUCCAGAGCCGACGACGGGCCGCACGGCAAGCGCAAGAGCAAGGCCUCCAUGGAACUGGGGGUGAUGGACAACCUCGACAAGGCUGCGCCGCCUACUGCAAGCGCGAAAGCAAAGCCCCGCAGAAGCUUCUGA